GACGAACCGUGCGAACGUUGUUCGGAUUCACUGGGCUUAAAGCGCACGUAGGCGGCUUUGUAAGUUAGAGGUGAAAGCCCGGGGCUCAACUCCGGAAUUGCCUUUAAGACUGCAUCGCUAGAAUUGUGGAGAGGUAAGUGGAAUUCCGAGUGUAGAGGUGAAAUUCGUAGAUAUUCGGAAGAACACCAGUGGCGAAGGCGACUUACUGGACACAUAUUGACGCUGAGGUGCGAAAGCGUGGGGAGCGAACAGG
This 253-nucleotide ribosomal RNA is filed under the name uncultured bacterium. Its description in RNAcentral is "partial 16S ribosomal RNA". It matches the Rfam family "Bacterial small subunit ribosomal RNA", at positions 524 to 776 of the family's 1533-position model. The record is from RNAcentral.